Molecule: microRNA, 22 nt
Filed under: Parasteatoda tepidariorum (common house spider)
Lineage: Eukaryota; Metazoa; Arthropoda; Arachnida; Araneae; Theridiidae
Description: pte-miR-11961c-5p
Source: miRBase by way of RNAcentral
GGUCGGUUUCUGCUGUGAGACG